This 468-nucleotide ribosomal RNA is filed under the name uncultured bacterium. Its description in RNAcentral is "partial 16S ribosomal RNA". It matches the Rfam family "Bacterial small subunit ribosomal RNA", at positions 28 to 507 of the family's 1533-position model. The record is from RNAcentral.
GACGAACGCUGGCGGCGUGCUUAACACAUGCAAGUCGAACGGAAAGGCCCUGCUUUUGUGGGGUGCUCGAGUGGCGAACGGGUGAGUAACACGUGAGUAACCUGCCCUUGACUUUGGGAUAACUUCAGGAAACUGGGGCUAAUACCGGAUAGGAGCUCCUGCUGCAUGGUGGGGGUUGGAAAGUUUCGGCGGUUGGGGAUGGACUCGCGGCUUAUCAGCUUGUUGGUGGGGUAGUGGCUUACCAAGGCUUUGACGGGUAGCCGGCCUGAGAGGGUGACCGGCCACAUUGGGACUGAGAUACGGCCCAGACUCCUACGGGAGGCAGCAGUGGGGAAUAUUGCACAAUGGGCGGAAGCCGGAUGCAGCAACGCCGCGUGCGGGAUGACGGCCUUCGGGUUGUAAACCGCUUUCGCCUGUGACGAAGCGUGAGUGACGGUAACGGGUAAAGAAGCACCGGCUAACUACGUG